Molecule: ribosomal RNA, 255 nt
Filed under: uncultured bacterium
Lineage: Bacteria
Description: partial 16S ribosomal RNA
Rfam family: Bacterial small subunit ribosomal RNA
Source: RNAcentral
CGGACGGGUGAGUAACGCGUGGGUAACCUGCCUUACACAGGGGGAUAACACCUGGAAACAGGUGCUAAUACCGCAUAAGCGCACAGCUUCGCAUGAAGCGGUGUGAAAAACUCUGGUGGUAUACGAUGGUUCCGCGUCUGAUUAGCUAGUUGGUGGGGUAAUGGCCUACCAAGGCAACGAUCAGUAGCCGGCCCGAGAGGGUGAGCGGCCACAUUGGGACUGAGACNCGGCCCAGACUCCUACGGAAGGCAGCAG